This 24-nucleotide microRNA is filed under the name Sarcophilus harrisii (Tasmanian devil). Its description in RNAcentral is "Sha-Mir-12475-P3_5p (mature (guide))". The record is from RNAcentral. Lineage: Eukaryota; Metazoa; Chordata; Mammalia; Dasyuromorphia; Dasyuridae.
UACACGGUCUAAAGGCACAUUGUU